This 770-nucleotide ribosomal RNA is filed under the name Pseudomonas sp. LS78. RNAcentral's name for it is "bacterial SSU rRNA". It matches the Rfam family "Bacterial small subunit ribosomal RNA", at positions 68 to 835 of the family's 1533-position model. The record is from RNAcentral. Lineage: Bacteria; Pseudomonadati; Pseudomonadota; Gammaproteobacteria; Pseudomonadales; Pseudomonadaceae.
GGAUGAAGGAGCUUGCUCCUGGAUUCAGCGGCGGACGGGUGAGUAAUGCCUAGGAAUCUGCCUGGUAGUGGGGGACAACGUUUCGAAAGGAACGCUAAUACCGCAUACGUCCUACGGGAGAAAGCAGGGGACCUUCGGGCCUUGCGCUAUCAGAUGAGCCUAGGUCGGAUUAGCUAGUUGGUGAGGUAAUGGCUCACCAAGGCGACGAUCCGUAACUGGUCUGAGAGGAUGAUCAGUCACACUGGAACUGAGACACGGUCCAGACUCCUACGGGAGGCAGCAGUGGGGAAUAUUGGACAAUGGGCGAAAGCCUGAUCCAGCCAUGCCGCGUGUGUGAAGAAGGUCUUCGGAUUGUAAAGCACUUUAAGUUGGGAGGAAGGGCAGUAAAUUAAUACUCUGCUAUUUUGACGUUACCGACAGAAUAAGCACCGGCUAACUCUGUGCCAGCAGCCGCGGUAAUACAGAGGGUGCAAGCGUUAAUCGGAAUUACUGGGCGUAAAGCGCGCGUAGGUGGUUUGUUAAGUUGGAUGUGAAAUCCCCGGGCUCAACCUGGGAACUGCAUCCAAAACUGGCGAGCUAGAGUAUGGUAGAGGGUGGUGGAAUUUCCUGUGUAGUGGUGAAGUGCGUAUGAUACGAAGGAGCACCAGUGGCGAAGGCGACCACCUGCACUGAUACUGACACUGGGUGCGAAAGCGUGGGGAGCAAACAGGAGUAGAUACCCUGGUAGUCCCGGCCGUAAAUCCAUGUCAACUAGCCGUUGGGAGCCUGAG